GACAUGGCUCGGUUGUUUUUAGCCGCCAAGAAACAACAGCGCCGACGAGUCAGAACAGCCGUGAAACACUGUCACAACGGAAGGAUUUCGCCGGAGGGAGAGGAGGAUGUCAAGAUGGUAUCGGCGGGAUCUAAGCUGAUGAGUUUAGAAGACAUUGAUGAGUUUUCUGCGGCGGAGUUUAUGCAUAGAAUCUCGAUUUCGAAGUCUAAGAAACCGAAGCUGGAAACCAUAGCUGAAGAAGAAUCUCUCUUAAGCGGACUUGAAAUCAAACAAUUAUUGGAACUUGAUUUUUUCAACGCUUUUUUUAAUUUUAGUUAUUGUUCUUGUUUGUAGUGUUAUUGAGAAUGAGCAUGUAAUGAUAAAGUUCUUUAAUUUUAUGUAAAUGUAAAUUAGUAAUCUUAAGCUCUUAACCAUUAUUUUUAUAGUAUUUGUUUUUCAUCAGUAUUUAAUUAAUAAUUUAAUGAAUGCUAAAAUCAAAAUUACACCAUCUUUUAUUUUUUUUCUUAAAACAACUAUUAAAAUGAUUUAAAAGUUGUAGUAUAUAGGUAUUUAUACAGAAAAAAACAUACAGUUACAAUAAUAAAAUCUACAGACUAAAUGAAUCCUACAACAAAAUUCUAUGUAAGUUACAUCAUGUGAAGGUAAUGAUCUGGUGAUGAGAAUUUUGCUGACAAGUCUGUGGAAGAGAAGGCUUCACUAAAUCUGACUUGUAGUAAGGAGACUCUGGAAGAGCUUAGGAUUCGUUUGCACAAAUGGGUCACACAAGAAACAAACAGAUAUGAGUAAAGGGACAUGGAGAAACGUAGUCAAAAUAGUUGAUAAUUUCCAUGAACACGAGACUGUAACUCUACGAGCAAGUCUCUUCGAAACUGGAGUUUUCUACACUGCUAAGCUACUUUCUACAAUUUCAAAAGCAACUGAUUCUACUACUACUGUAAAUACUAUAUAUCGUGGUGCUAAUGCUAUAAGUAAUUAGACAUUCCUUAGUAAAAUAAAAUUUAUCAAACAAGGUUAUAGAAACGUGACGGAGAAUUGUAGAGAGAAUAUGAUCAUGCUAAGGAAUGGACUUGAGAAGACAGAAACGUUCAACAUCGUAUCAAAGAACGAGGGAGUGCCGCUUGUCGCUUUCUCCUUGAAAGAUAGCAGCUCUCACACUGAGUUCGAAAUCUCCGACAUGUUCGCAGGUUAGUUUUUAUUUGAGACAGAAACUCUAUGAAAUAUUCUAAAGACAGGUGUCAUUUGAUAAACAAUAAUUCCUUAAAAUAAUUAUAUAAGUGAAUGAAAAUAUAUAAAAAAAUUUGUAAUUAUUUUUUGAAAAGUUUAGCAAUGGAGAUGCUCUAAUAUCUCAAAUACUCUUUCACAUUUCGAAAGGUUUCACUUUGAUAUGAUUCAUGCACUUGAGAGUAAAUACAUAAGUUAGACGUUAAUUGAUACUUCAAAGAUUCAUAAAAAUAAGUAACUAGAUUUGUGUUUGAAUAUGAUGUAUCGAAAACUUGUCUGUUUAUAUAUUGAAAUGUAGGUACGGAUGGAUAGUACCGGCGUAUACAAUGCCUCCUAACGCACAACACAUAACAGUUCUUCUAGUGGUCAUCAGAGAAGAUUUUUCAAGAACACUCGCUGAGAGAUUUGUAAUCGAUAUUGAGAAAGUGAUGCGUGAGCUCGAUGAGCUUCCUUCACGAGUAAUCCAUAAAAUUUCGCUAGGCACUACAAGAAAACAUCGGUAUUCUGACGGACAUUCCGAUGGAAAAUGAAAUCCUCAGAAUUUCCUGAGGAAUUUCCGAGGAAAUUCCGAGGAAGCCCAAAUUUUGGGUUUCCUCGGAAUUUCCUCGGAAUAUACCGACGGAAUUCCGAGGAAACAUUAAUCCGUCGGUAUAUUCCGAGGAAAUUCCGAGGAGAAAUGUGUUCCUCACAAAAUUCCGAGGAAAUUUCGACGAACAAGUGACCGAUCGAUGCGUUUUUGGACAUAUACCCAUCGAUCGAUCACAUUGUUACGCUUUGGUCUAUCUUAGUGAUCGAUCGAUGCGUUUUUGGACAUAAAUCCAUCGAUCGAUGCGUUUAUAAAAAAACAUUCGAGAUUUUGAAACCCAAAACUGUAGUUCCUCGGAAUUUCCUCGGAAUAUUCCGAGGAAAUUCCGAGGAACACUUGAUAUCCUAGAUCGAUCGAUGGGAUAAUCUCAUCGAUCGAUCACAUUGUUACGCUUUGGUCCAUCUUAGUGAUCGAUCGAUGCGUUUUUGGACAUAUAUCCAUCGAUCGAUCCGUUUUAAAAAAAAAAUUGACGUUUUGAAACCCCAAACACUAGUUCCUCGGAAUUUCCUCGGAAUAUUCCGACGGAAUUCCGAGGAAGAAAAGGGUUUCCUCGGAAUUCCCUCGGAAUAUUCCGAGGAAAUUCCGAGGAAAUAGGGUUUUUAAACCGAAAACAACGUUUUGCGGUUUGAAUAACACCUAUAUAACCCUUAUUAAGUGUCUUACGUUCAUUAUGAAGUCAAAAAUUUGUUCCUUACCCUAUAAUAAACACUUUUCCGAUUGUAUGAACGAAAUCCCUACAACAUAAGAGAAACACUUAUACACUUUAAUGAACGGUAAAUGGAAUACUUACAAUUCGUUUUGAAAUUUGUUAUUUCAUGGUUUAUGCUCAUCUAUACAAAGAAUCCUCAAUGGUAUGCAUUACAAUUGUAUAAGAAAUGAAAUACGGCAAAAAAAAUUGAUGUUUUGAAACCCCAAACACUAGUUCCUCGGUAUUUCCUCGGAAUAUUCCGAGGAAAUUCCGAGGAACAAUAUAAAUUAAUAGAAAUAUAUGCACAGGAUAUUCUUUUUCCUCGAAUUAAUGAAAAUAUUCUGAGGAAAUUCCGACGGAUAUUUAAGUGGCCGUCGGAAUUUUAUCGGAAUAUUUUCAUUUAACCGGGUAAACAAGCCGCCAAAUAUUUCGCGAAAAUUGAAAUUGAAAAUACUGAGGGAAUUCCGACGGAAAAUAUCCGUCAGACCGAAGGUUUUAUAAACUCGAACCGUAUCUUCUUCCCCAUUUCUCCCUUCUUCCUCUCCGGCGAUCUCUCUCUCCUUCCGGCGUUCUCCACCUUCUCUCGCGACGAUCUCUCCGGCGAAUCCUUUCCAUUCCCUUACAAAUCAUGUAAGGACCCUAUCCCACUCUCUUAGGUCCUAUUUGUUAGGUUUUUAAGUAGAUUUGAUGAUUUUAGAAGUUUUUUGAUAGAUUUUUGUUAGGGUGAUUGGGUAGGAUUGUGAUUUGUUGUGUAAUAGGUUUAGAAUUGUGAUUUGGUUGUGUUGAAUUGAUUUAGAACUUGUUUUAUAAAUUGUUUAUUAUUUUUGUAUUUACAAAAAGUUUUUUCUAUAUAAAUUCGAUUUUACAAAACGUUUUUGUAUAUAAAUUCGAUUUUUGGAUUUAUAAAAGAUGAUUUCAUAUUUAUAAAAAUAUUUAUAUUUAUUAAAACUAAUUUUGUAUUUAUAAAACAUUUUUUUUAUUUAUAAACACUAUUUUUUUUAUUUUUGUAUUUAUAAAAACUAUUUUUAAAUAUACAAAACAUUCUUUGUAUAUAAAUUCGAUUUUUGGAUUUAUAAAAGAUGAUUUCAUAUUUUAAAAUUAAUUUUGUAUUUAUAAAACAUUUUUUGAUUUAUAAACACUAUUUUAUUAUUUUUUGUAUUUAUAAGAACUAUUUUGUAUUUAUAAAAAGAUGAUUUCAUAUCUAUAAAAAUAUUUAUAUUUAUUAAAACUAAUUUUGUAUUUAUAAAAUAUUUUUUUGAUUUAUAAACACUAUUUUAUUAUUUUUUGUAUUUAUAAAAAGAUGAUUUCAUAUUUAUAAAAAUAUUUAUAUUUAUUAAAACUAAUUUUGUAUUUAUAAAACAUUUUUUUGAUUUAUAAACACUAUUUUAUUAUUUUUUGUAUUUAUAAAAAGAUGAUUUCAUAUUUAUAAAAAUAUUUAUAUUUAUUAAAACUAAUUUUGUAUUUAUAAAACAUUUUUUUUUAUUUAUAAAAACUAUUUUAUUAUUUUUGUAUUUUAAAUAUGUUUUCUAUUUCAAUUUUAAUUUUAUAUUUUUGAAUUUCAAUUUAAAAAAAUAAAUUUAUAAUUUUUUUUUUUAUUUUGGAAAUAUUCCGAGGAAGUGUAUCCCUCGGAAUAUUCCGACGACAUCUUCCUCGGAAUAUUCCGAGGAAUUUCCGACGAAAAAAGUCCUCAGAAUAUUCCGAGGAAAUUCAUUUCCUCGGAAUUCCGUCGGAAAUUUCCGAGGAAUUUCCGAGGAAAGAUGAAUUUCCGAGGAGUUAUUUCCGAUGACUUUUUUCGUCGGUAUGUCGUUGGAAUAGCGUUAUUCCGACGACAUACCGACGAUUUUUUUCCUCAGUAUGCCGCUGUUUUCUUGUAGUGAGGAGAGGAGAAGAGUGAAGCUGACGGCGAUAACUUGAUGGUGACGGUGAAGAAAAGCGAUAUGGAGAAGCAGAGAAAGAUCAUCAAUGGCUGGAAGAAGUUUGUUUCCGACAGGAAGACGACAAAUGGUAUCUGUUAACUAAGUAAUAUAUGAUGAAAAUGUUUGGACUGCUUUAUCAAUAAUGCAUUUGCAUUAAUUCGGAAAUUGAAGGUUUUUUACUUUGUUGUUGUUGAACAAUUAAAGUUUCGUUUGAUUAAUACUUGAAUAUAUUUUGAUAUUAUUGCGACAUUUUGAAUAAAGUUUCUGUGUUUUUGUUAUUAGUUUGUCAUCCAUUACAAAUAGGAUUGGUGAGUCUAGUAAAUGCAUAAUAUUUGGCUUAUAAUAGACUUGCUAAUUAUCUUCAAAUAAAAACAGUCUUAUUAUAAUUGAACUUUUAUAAUGUGCAACAAUAAUCAAACGAAAAGUUACACAAUGAAGUAGUAAACUUUUUUGAUCGAGAAAUGAGAUUUAUUUAUGAUAUUUUUCAAAUAAACUCUAAGCCGGAGAAGGAGCAGUAGCAUCGUGGCUAGAGCAAUGUUUCUUAACAUAGUUGUUAACGAAAGGGUUACGGAACGAUCUGAAAACCGUAUGUUUACAAUUUUCAUUCAAUGUUUUGAUCAUGGCGCAACAUUCAGAAUCAACGGUUGGUUUUCCGGUUAACGUCUUCAUCAAACAUUUUGUUACCAUCUUGUAACUGGAAAAGCAUUCCUUCAAUUCCUGAUUUGGGCUGUGUUUGUGGAUAGCGGAGGGUGCCUGAGAGUGACCCGACCAUUGGAGCUCUUCGACAUCUGUUGGGCCUGAUUUGGGCUGUGUUUGUUAAUAGCCGAGGGCGCGUGAGCGUAACCCGACCAUUGGAGCUCUUCGCCAUCUGUUAGGUCAAGAAAUUGAGAUGUGACACAGCUUGAAAAAAGAACCAUAGCAACAAAAAUUGUGAGAUUCUUCAUUUUCUUUUGAUUACUUGUCGGUGUGAAAUUGAGAAAAAGUGAAUAUGCUUUUAGUUUUGGAUGACUUUAAAAUGAAACUACGUCAGUGUUUAUAUAGAAGUUUACAAUGAAUACUUUUAUAGCACAUACAAACAAAACAUAGAAAAGAAUCAUGACCAGUUAUGUAAGAAAUUGUUAUUAUUCAAUUAAGGACAUAAAUCUAUAAAAUUUGCAUGUUGUUAACCCAAAAAAUUGUAUAAUAUCUUAAUGACCAAAAAUAUGGUAUAAAAUAUUUAUCUAUUAAUAUUAUUAUUUGAUAAGUGAAUUUGUUUACUUGUCAUCUUCUCCAUGAUUUUAGGUUAAAUCAAUAGUUUUAAUAAACAAUUUUAAUUAGACUAAUUAAAUAUCUUUAAUUUCAUUUAUAUUUGUAUGUUAAUAUGAUUUUUUCGUGGUAUUUUCAUUUCAUUUUUAUUUUUCUUUGUACUUUCAUUUUUAUUUGUAUUAUUGUUCUUAUGGUUUUCGUGGUAUUUUAAUUUUUUUUCUUAAUAUUCAGUUAAUAGAAUAAAAUUUAUUUGUUAUUUAAUUUAAAAUUUUUUAUAUUAUUUUAUAUUGGGAAUUAAAUUAUAUUUUUUAAAUAUUUUCAAAAUACCAGUAUCCAAAAGAGAAUAUUUUCAAAAAAAAAAAUUUGAUUUACAACAAGUACCUUAUACAGUAUUUAUAAACAUUAAAAUUAACUUUAUUUAAUUUUAAUGUUUUCAAGAGUUUCACAGAAUUAUAACGUUGUUUAAUUUAAAAUGUAAAGAAAAAUGUGAUUCUCUUUUUUUAUAAACUGCAUUUUCUAAAAUGAUUUUUAUUAGUUAUAAUAUUAAAGUUUGAAAGUUAAAAGAUUAUUUAAUAAUAACAAAUUAUGAUUUUGUAAUAAAGAAAUACUAUUUUAUAGGAAAAUAUCAAUCUCUAUUUUAAAGUAAAAAUAUAGAUUUACUAUAGCUUAUUUUCUCAAUUAUAACAUUUAGAAAUGAAAAUAACAAUAAAUAUAAAAUGUUCUUAUCUUAUGCAUUAUAUAUUAAUGUUUUGUUUGUCAAUAUGAUUGGUCUGUUUGAGUGUUUAUACAAUUAUUAUGGAGGUAUGUUACAGUAUAAUUAUAUAUAUAUAUACCAAUAAUUUUAUUUACUCUGAUUAAUAUAUAUAAUAUAUAAAAUUGGGUUUGGUUUAACAUUCUUAUGCUUUUGAUUUAUUUGAAAUUUUUUGGUUUUGAUAAUUCCAAAAAUUUGGUUUAAUAACAUCACUUAAUAUUAAAAGUUGUAUUUUUUUUAUUUAAUUAAGAAAAAAAUUGAGAAUGACGCUUGGAAGAUGCACAAAGUUUUAUAAAUUAAUAUAAUAAAAACUGGUUAAAGAUAACAACAUAUUUUAAAAUAAAAAAUAUUAAUGUUGUCAUCCAAAAUAAUGUCUUUAAAUCAAUAAACGGUAAAAAUUAAGAAAUUGAAAGAUUCAUAAAAUAGUAUAAAUUUAAUAUUUUAUUUAAGUUUUUUGAUCUUUAAACUAAUAGUACACGGUGGCUGACCUAGCAUCAUAUGUAGUUGGAAGCACAAUACUAAAAAAAAAAACAAAAACAAAAAUAUUACGGACUGGGGGAACUUUUUUUUGUUUAUUCAGUAAACUAAAAACAAUAUAAUCAAAUUAGAACUUAUAUUUGGACUGCUAUCAAUAAUGCAUCUGCACUAAUUCGGAGAUUUGAAGGUUUUCACUUUAUUGUUGUUGAACAAUUUGAUUAGUACUUGUAAUAUUUUUUGAUAUUAUUGCGACAUUUUGAAUAAAGUUUCUGUGUUUUUGUUAUUAGUUUUUCAUCCAUUACAAAUAUGAUUAAUGAGUCUAGUAAAUGCAUAAUAUUUGGCUUAUAAUAGUGUUGCUAAUUAUCUUCAAAUAAAAAAACUAAUUAUAAUUGAACUUGUAUCAUCAUUUAUAAUGUGCAAUAAUAAGCCAAAAAAAAAAUGUUACACAAUCUAGUAGUAAUUAACUCUUGAUCGAUACAUAGAUUUAUUUAUUAUAAUAAUUUUGUAAUUAAACUUUGUAUCAUCGCUUUAUAAUGUGCAAAAAUAAGCAAAAAAAAGUUACACAAUACAAGAGAUUUAUUUAUAAUAUAUUUUUUAGAUGAACUCUAAGCCGGAGCAGGAGCACUGUAGCUAGAGCAAUGUUUCUCGACAUAGUUGUUAACAAAAGGGUUACGGAAGGUUUUGAAAACCGUAUGCUUACAAUUUUCAUUCAACGUCUUGAUCGUGGCGCAACAUUCAGAACCAACUGUUGGGUUUUUGGAUAACGUCUUCAUCAAACAUUUUGUUACCAUCUUGUAACUGGAAAAACACUCCUUUAAUUCCCGAUGUGGGCUGUGUUUGUGGGUAGCCGAGGGCGCCUGAGAGUAACCCGACCAUUGGAGCUCUUCGUCAUCUGUUGGGUCGCGGAAUUGAGAUGUGACACAGCUUGAAAAAAGAAUUAUAGCAACAAAAAGUGUGAGAUUCUUCAUUUUCUUUGGAUUCUUUGUCGAUGUGAAAUUGAGAAAAAAUGAAUAUGCUUUUAGUUUUGGAUGGCUUUAAGAUGAAACUAUGUCAGGGAUUAUAUAGAUGUUUACAGUGAAUACUUUAUAGCAUAUUCAAACAAAACAUAGAAAGAAUCAUGACUAGUUAUGUAAGAUAUUGUUUAUAUUCGUUUAAGGACAUAAAUCUAAAAUAUCUGACUAGUCAUGUUGUUAACCCAAAAAGAUUGUAUAAUAUCUUAAUGUUGACCAAAAACAUGGUAUGAUAUCAUAAUAAUAUUCUAUGGUCACCUUAUAAAGUGGAAAAACAUCAAAUUAACAUUGCCUAUUAGAAUAUUCUCAUUUACACAACGUUAUCCCAAAAAAAAAAAAAAAAAUUAGGAUAAGGUUCAGAAAUUAAAUCUAAAAAGAUAACUACAAACACAUGACAUAAACCCCUUGGACCAUGAUUAUCCGUAUAACUGGUUUUUGAAUUUCUUAUUAUUUAUUUAUUUUUUAAAAAAAAAAUUAAAAAGGAAAUCAAUUGUGGGCCGCCACAUGUCAGUGGGACCCGCACAAGGAUCAUGACAAAAGCGAUCCUUAUUUCAUCUUCUUUGUUACCGAUUUUUACUCAAAAUAUGAGGCUCAUCACUUUAAAAACCCUCUUGUUACUCCUGAUAAUUGUAUGCGCAACGGUGAGACUCAUUGGAGUCCUUAGCGACAAGGGCAUUUCAGAUUAAUCUUGGAUAUUUUGAAUUUAAAAAAAAAAAUGAUCAUUCACGGGCCGCCACGUAGUCAAUGGGGCCCGUGAACAGUGUAACGAUCAAUCCUUACCAAAGAAUUUUAAACACUAUUUUUUGCACAAAUUCUAAGAAAAUACGCUCCACACUCGCUAAAGAAUCCUUCAAGAGCUCCCAUUGUGAAUGUUCUUAGAGCAUCUCCAAUAGGAGGUUCUACUCAUUAGAGUUCUAAACAUUUAUAUACAUACACACAUAUAAAUGUUUAGAACUCUAAUGGGUAGAACCUCCUAUUGGAGAUGCUCUUAUACUAAGGGACUCAUAAUACAAGGACAUAUAUGGGGUCAGCCUUCCUAUUCUGUUCACAUACGCACAAAGUUUUUAGUUUGGUUAGUGUCAAUCGAAUAUGUUUAUGUUGACCAAAAAAACAGAGUCAUCAUUAAUUCAAAAUAAUCUUCAAUUAAAAUCACGAUGUAAUUUAUAUUAUAUUUGUUCUGUAUAGAAUAAAAACUGACAUGCCCCUCGAGGGGUGUAAACUCGGUUACGAAUUAAGUUUUAUGAAGUUUGGUUUGAUCAAAAAAAAAAAAAAAAAAAACUGACAUUAUAUGGUUGAAUGACAUUAUUUUGGUUGAAUUUAGUUUUUACUAGAAGGGUGUCCGCGCUUCGCGCGGAAUAUUAUUUUAUUGCUGUUAGAUAUGAUUUUUUGGAUGAUGUAAUUAAGUGGUCUUUCUUAUUUGUAAAGAGAAUUAUUUGAUGUUUUAUUGUGUUAUGUAGUAUUAGGUAAUAUGUUAAUAUAUUAUGUGUUUGUUUUUCAAUAAUGCGUUGUUGUGUGUAUAAUAGUAAUUGUGUGGUGAAGUGAGCUUUUAAUGUAAAUUAUAUUGAAUUUUAAUAACUUUGCAUUUAGGCAUUUGUUAAUUUUAAGAUUGAUGGUUUUAGCGUCAGAAUUGUAUUUUAAUUUGUCACAUUUUUGAACAUUACUCUUUUAAAAUGUUUUUUGCUCACUCUCCAUAUUUUGACCCUGAGUCGUCCUCAUCUAUGUAAUUCGCUUACCUUUCCGGUGUGCGGUGCUUCUCGCCAUCACUGAGAAAAGACUCACCUUUGUGUUCUUGUUUUUCCUCACAUUCAUCUCUUGUGAUAUUAUCUGGUAUUUGUUAUAGAUCAUGCUUACAAAUUCGCAAUUGUGCGGUUGUUUUUCACUGUGUUGUAGGUUGUUUUGGUCAAUAUUGGUCCUCUUCUUUUUUAGAUUUUGACUAAUUUUAGGAACUAUAUCUUGUUGGGUUGGGUCAGAGUUCAGUUGUCUUUGAUGUUGUCUUCCUCUCGUUGACUUGCCGUCGAUAGUCUCUGCUCGUCUUGGUUUUCAAGAUCUGGUUUUUGGUGAUCUGACUUCUAUGCUCUUUAUCAUAUCUCGAGGAUGGCUCCAUGGUUUGAUGAUUUUGUUUCGUCUCCUUUUCUAUCUUUGUUCUCUCAUCUUGUUGCACCUUUCAUUGCUGCUCGCUUCUCUGGUGGCUCUUUUUCGCCAUAUUUGCUACUCCAGGUUUGGAUAGUGUUUUCUUCUGUGUAUGCUUUAUGUGCUUGGAAGGUUAUUUCUAGUCUAAAGUUUGAGCUCUUGUUUUUUGGUGGUAGACUUCCAUUCUCCCUCCCUCAGGUUGUUUCUUUUCUUCUCUUACUUUCCUUGGUGUAGGUGUGCGGAGUUAGUCUUUGGAGCUUUGGUCUCUUCUACUUAGAGCUUUGUGGUUCUUCGCUGGCAUAAACGUCUUGUAUGUGCUUGUUUAGUUUAUGAGGUGUUUCUUACCUUUUAGCUGGUGGUUGUGAUUCCGGUGCUUGUGGCAUGUGUCUUCUUGUUUCGUGGUGACUUUGGUCUCCUGAUGAUUAUUCUUUCUCUGACCUUUUUGGUUUUUUGGGUUUUUUGGGUUGGUGCUUGAUCACGCUCCUUUGAGCUCGGAGGAAUGUUUUGUCUUAUAUUUUACUCCCUCUGUUCCAAAAUAGAUGAUGUUUUAGAAAAGUUAUGAUGUUUCAAAAUAGAUGAUGUUUUGAUAUUUUAUAUUAAUUUAAAUUUUAUUGAAAACUGUGUGACCACUGAUGUUUUAUAUUUAUUUUUAAGGAUUGGAUGAAUUAAUUUUGAUUUAUAUUUUUAAUGUUUCUUUUAGAAAAAAGUGUAUACCUUAAUUCUUGUUCAUACACUCAAAACAUCAAAUAUUUUGGAACAGAAUGAAUAUCCUUUUAUCUUUUCUAACAUCUGCUUGUUCUAUCCAUGAUAUUAUUGGUAAGAUGAGGUAAGUUAGUUUUCUUUGUUGAUCUUUUUCCGGCUCCAAACUUUUAUUGAGUUAGUGUUACUAUAGUAUAAUUGGUUUUUUUCUUUUGGUUGUGGAAGUUGUAGGUUUAGAUUAUGUGUUGUAUUCUAGUUUUUUCUUAUUAGUUUGGUUAUUUGUGGAAGUUGUAGGGCAGUUCUGAGCGAAGUGACCUAUCUUAUCACAUCGGUAACACUCAACCUUUGAUGUGUCUCUCUCUUGCCUAUAAUAUCUGUUUUGUUGAUAUCCAAAUCUACCACGACCUCUUCCUCGAUAUCCAUACCGACCGCCUCUUCCCGAAUCAUACAUAUCCUGUUGUGAGAGUCUGCAUACAUAAGUUUAUCUUGGUUUUGCUCGUCAUGCUUCUCUUCUUCCUCAUCAUGAAUCCUCUCAUCAUAAAAUAAUAGAAAAUGAUAAAAUAACAAAAAUAAUAAAAAAUAUUUAAAAUUAUUUAUUUAUUUAUUUUAUUUAUUUAUUUUUUAUUCAUCUUGAAUUUUAGUGACCAAUAAAAUAAAUUAUCAAAUUUUAUACAAAGAUGGUUAAUAUUAAAAGAGUAAAUAGUGCAUAAUUAGAAAGUACUUCGCUAAAUUGCAAUAAUCUAUAAGAAAAAGGAUUUAAAAUGUAAAAAAAAAAUAUGAAAGACACAUGUCAUCAAACCCCCUUGCCACUUGUCAUUUUGAACAAGCUAACUUUAUAUAUAAAGAUUCUAUACAGAACAAAUAUAAUCUAAAUUACAUAGUGAUUGAAGAUUAUUUUGAAUUAAUGAUGGCUCGGUUAUUUCUAGCCGCCAAGAAACAACAGCGCCGACGAGUCAAAACAGCCGUGAAACACUGUCACAACGGAAGGAUUUCGCCGGAGGGAGAGGAUGACGUCAAGAUGAUGUCGGCGGGAUCUAAGCUGAUGAGUUUAGAAGACAUUGAUGAGUUUUCGGCGGCGGAGUUUAUGCAUAGAAUCUCGAAUUCGAAGUCUAAGAAACCGAAGCUGGAAACCAUAGCUGAAGAAGAAUCUGUCUUAAACGGACUUGAAAUCAAACAAUUAUUAGAACUUGAUUUUUUCAACGCUUUUUUAAUAUUAGUUAUUGUUCUCGUUUGUAGUGUUAUUGAGAAUGAACAUGUAA
RNAcentral lists this long non-coding RNA (11982 nucleotides) under Brassica napus (rape). Its description in RNAcentral is "long non-coding RNA (BNAP_LNC012743)". The record is from RNAcentral. Lineage: Eukaryota; Viridiplantae; Streptophyta; Magnoliopsida; Brassicales; Brassicaceae.